This 2516-nucleotide ribosomal RNA is filed under the name Delftia acidovorans. RNAcentral's name for it is "bacterial LSU rRNA". The stretch from base 12 to 1825 matches the Rfam family "Bacterial large subunit ribosomal RNA", at positions 15 to 2044 of the family's 2925-position model. Lineage: Bacteria; Pseudomonadati; Pseudomonadota; Betaproteobacteria; Burkholderiales; Comamonadaceae. The record is from RNAcentral.
UAAAAAUUAUAGGGUAAAUAACGAAUAUCUUACAGCAUAAAAGUUUCUGGCGUCUAAUCGAGCGAAAUAUACAAUGAGUCGAAAAAUUACUUAGAAUUGUAAAUUCCAGCAGAGAAAUCUAACAUUUAAAUAUUGUUCUUACCUAAUUAAGUGAAACAUCUCAAUAGUUAGAGGAAAGAAAAAUAAUUAAAGAUUUUGUUAGUAAUGGUGAGUGAAAACAAAGUAGCCAAAAUUUAAAUUUAAGAAAUUAGAAGUUUUAUAUGAUUUAAACGCCACAGAAGGUGAAAGCCCUUUAUAUUUUUCUUAUUUUUAUCUAAAUAAAUUAGUAAAAUAGAAUCUGUGAAAUUCUAUUGGAAGAAGGCAAACCCAUUUGCUAAGGCUAAAUAUACUUUUAUGACUAAUAGUGAACAAGUACUGUGAAGGAAAGAUGAAAAGACAAAGUUAAAAGAUCUUGAAAUUGUUUACCUUAAGGAUCUAAAGCACAAAAUGUGUUAUAGGGUGCCUUUUGCAUAAUGAGCGGGCGAUUUCUAAAGAGCUAGCAAACUAUAGUCGUUAGAUAAAGGUGAAGUGAAAGCGAGCUUUAAUUAAGCGUUAAGUUAGUUUUUUGAGACUCGAUACUAAGCGAUCUAUUUACUGCCAGAUUGAAAGUACUUUAAUACGUACUGAAGGAUCGAACCCAUGUAUGUUGCAUAAUACCGGGAUGAGUGGUAGCUAGGGGUGAAAGGCUAAUCAAGCUUAGUGUUAGCUAGUACUCUACGAAAUCUAUUUAGGUAGAGCGUUUUGUUUACAUUAUUGUCGGUAGAGCUCUAGGUAAGUAAUGGGAAUUAAUACUUCUACUGAGUUUACUUAAACUACGAAUGGCAAUAAAUUCUUUUUACAGAACAGGCAGAUUGCGGGCGCGAAGGUUCGUAAUCAAAAGGGAAACAGCCCAGAAUAUCAGCUAAAGUCCAUAAAAAUAAUUAAGUGUAUGAAAUAAUUCAAAGUGUUAUAACAAUUAGGAGGUUGGCUUAGAAGCAGCCAUCCUUUAAAGAAAGCGUAACAGCUCACUAAUUUUAUAAAAGCAUUAUAGAGUUUUAUGAUAUAACGGACUAAAAUUAUUUACUAAAGCUAUAUGUAAAUCGGUAGUAGAGUAUCUUAUAAUUUAAUAAGGUAAACUCGUGAGAGUUUGCUGAUAUAUUAAGAGAAAGUAUGCCUGUAUGAGUAGCAAAGAAUAGUGAGAAACUAUUCCACCGUAUAUAUAAGGUUUCCUAUUUAUAAAUUUAUUUUAAUAGGGUUAAUCGGCCCCUAAGUUUUAUAAUGAAAAUUAUAGGCGAUGGGUUUUGGGUUAAAAUUCUCAAAUUUUUCAGCAAGUGACAAAGGCGGCAAAUUAUCCAGUUUUAGUUAAUUAAUUGGGUAGUUAUGACCUUUCUGGAAAAAGCUCUGAAGUAAAAAACCGUACUUAAAUCGGCUCCGAUAUUUUAAUAGAGUAUAUUAAGGUGAUAGGAUAAUAAUAUUGAAGGAACUCGGCAAAAUAGCUCCGUAACUUCGGGAGAAGGAGUACCUUUCGUAAGCAAUUACUUAUAGGUGUAACAGAAUAGAGGGUAGCGACUGUUUACUAAAAACACAGGACUCUGCUAAGUUGUAAAACGAUGUAUAGGGUCUGACACCUGCCCGGUGCUGAAAGACAAAAAGGAUUGGUAGAAAUGCCAUGAAUAUAAAUCUCAGUAAACGGCGGCUGUAACCAUAACGGUCCUAAGGUAGCGAAAUUCCUUGUCGGGUAGAAUUGGAACUUGCCCGAUUAACGUAGUAAUGCGUUAUAGUAAAUCAGCUAAUAACGGUGAAACCCUAAGUUUUAGUUUAUUCUAAAAUAUGGCAAUACCGUGGGAACGAUUAUCCUAGAACGUAAAAUUUGAAUAAUUGACCCGUAACGACUGAGUCGAAAGAUGAGAUUUGUUUUUAUAAAAACAAAUAAAACGCUGACCCCUUUUGUUCAAAUUUAUUAUGAAGUAUUAACUAUAGAAUUAAAAAUUAUAAAAAUAAUGCAAGAAUUGAAUUUUAAAAAGAAAUCAUUUGUUGAUCCCUUUUGAAUAACUGGUUUUGUUGAUGGAGAAGGUUGCUUUUGUGUUAGCUUUAAUUUGAAGCAGCGCUUAGUUUUGGGUAUAGAGGUAAGGCCAAGUUUUUCCAUAUCUCAGACUAAAGAUAAGGAAGGUUUAAAUUUAAGUUGUCUUCAGGACGUUUUGAACUUUUUUUCUUGCGGAUCUAUUCGUUUUUCGAAAAGAGAUAACACUUGAAAGUAUGAGUGUCGUGACCUAUCAGAUAUACGAUCGAAAAUAUUACCUCACUUUGAAGAUUUUAGGUUGAGGACAAAAAAGUUAAAGGAUUUUGAGUUGUUUAAAAAGGUUGUCAAUUCUGUUGCGGCCAAACAGCAUUUAAAUGAAUUUGGUCUUCGUUCUAUCAUCGAAAUUUCUUAUCAAAUAAACAUUGGCAAAAGAAAAUUAACAAAAGACUCUUUAUUAUCUAAAAUUAAUGUUAAAAAU